This 305-nucleotide ribosomal RNA is filed under the name uncultured bacterium. RNAcentral describes it as "bacterial SSU rRNA". It matches the Rfam family "Bacterial small subunit ribosomal RNA", at positions 334 to 654 of the family's 1533-position model. The record is from RNAcentral.
GCUCCCUACGGGCGCAGCAGUGGGGAAUAUUGGACAAUGGGGGGAACCCUGAUCCAGCGACGCCGCGUGAAGGAAGAAGGCUUUCGGGUUGUAAACUUCUUUUCUCAGGGACGAAGAAAGUGACGGUACCUGAGGAAUAAGCCACGGCUAACUACGUGCCAGCAGCCGCGGUAAUACGUAGGUGGCAAGCGUUAUCCGGAUUUACUGGGUGUAAAGGGCGUGUAGGCGGGGAAGCAAGUCAGAUGUGAAAACCACGGGCUCAACCUGUGGCCUGCAUUUGAAACUGUUUUUCUUGAGUACUGGAG